Non-coding RNA from Acanthosepion pharaonis, 114 nucleotides. The record is from the annotation of a GenBank genome assembly. Lineage: Eukaryota; Metazoa; Mollusca; Cephalopoda; Sepiida; Sepiidae.
UUACGACCAUAUCACGUUGAAACACCGGUUCGCAAACGAUCACUGAAGUUAAGCACCAUCGGGCCUGGUCAUUACCUAGAAGGGUAACCAUUUGGAAAUUCCAAGUGCUGUAGG